GAUGAACGCUGGCGGCGUGCCUAAUACAUGCAAGUCGAGCGAACGGACGAGAAGCUUGCUUCUCUGAUGUUAGCGGCGGACGGGUGAGUAACACGUGGAUAACCUACCUAUAAGACUGGGAUAACUUCGGGAAACCGGAGCUAAUACCGGAGGAUAUUUUGCACCGCAUGGGUCAAAAGUGAAAGACGGUCUUGCUGUCACUUAUAGAUGGAUCCGCGCUGCAUUAGCUAGUUGGUAAGGUAACGGCUUACCAAGGCAACGAUGCGUAGCCGACCUGAGAGGGUGGUCGGCCACCCGGGAACUGGGACGCGGUCCAGACUCCUACGGGAGGCAGCAGUCGGGAAUCUUCCGCAGUGGGCGAAAGCCUGACGGAGCAACGCCGCGUGAGUGAUGAAGGUCUUCGGAUCGUAAAACUCUGUUAUUAGGGAAGAACAUAUGUGUACGUAACUGUGCACAUAUUGACGGUACCUAAUCAGAAAGCCCCGGCUAACUACGUG
This 497-nucleotide ribosomal RNA is filed under the name uncultured bacterium. RNAcentral describes it as "partial 16S ribosomal RNA". It matches the Rfam family "Bacterial small subunit ribosomal RNA", at positions 28 to 507 of the family's 1533-position model. The record is from RNAcentral.